RNAcentral lists this ribosomal RNA (207 nucleotides) under uncultured bacterium. RNAcentral's name for it is "partial 16S ribosomal RNA". It matches the Rfam family "Bacterial small subunit ribosomal RNA", at positions 568 to 774 of the family's 1533-position model. The record is from RNAcentral.
CACGUAGGCGGCGUGGCAAGUCAGGGGUGAAAGCCCUCGGCUUAACCGAGGAAUUGCCUCUGAAACUGCCAUGCUAGAGUCCGGGAGGGGGAAGUGGAAUUCCAGGUGUAGCGGUGAAAUGCGUAGAUAUCUGGAGGAACACUCAUGGCGAAGGCAGCUUCCUGGACCGGUACUGACGCUGAGGUGCGAAAGCGUGGGGAGCAAACA